GAUGAAGAACGUAGCGAAAUGCAAUAAGUAAUGUGAAUUGCAGAAUUCAGUGAAUCAUCGAAUCUUUGAACGCAUCUUGCGCUCCUUGGUAUUCCGAGGAGCAUGCCUGUUUGAGUGUCAUUAAAUUCUCAACUCUUUUAUACAGUUUUGUAUAGGAGAGCUUGGAUUGUGGAGGUUUGCUGGCCACUUGUUUGAGGUCAGCUCCUCUGAAAUGCAUUAGCGGAACCGUUUGCGAUCUGCCACAAGUGUGAUAAAUUAUCUACACUGGCAAGGGGGAUUGCUCUCUGUAUUGUUCAGCUUCUAAUUGUCUCUACUUUGCGGGACUAUUUUUGAAUACUUGACCUCAAAUCAGGUAGGACUACCCGCUGAACUUAAGCAUAUCAAUAAGCGGAGGA
Molecule: unclassified non-coding RNA, 395 nt
Filed under: soil metagenome
Description: partial contains 5.8S ribosomal RNA, internal transcribed spacer 2, and large subunit ribosomal RNA
Rfam family: 5.8S ribosomal RNA (bases 1-120)
Source: RNAcentral